RNAcentral lists this ribosomal RNA (549 nucleotides) under Marinobacter sp. sed355. RNAcentral's name for it is "bacterial SSU rRNA". It matches the Rfam family "Bacterial small subunit ribosomal RNA", at positions 81 to 626 of the family's 1533-position model. Lineage: Bacteria; Pseudomonadati; Pseudomonadota; Gammaproteobacteria; Pseudomonadales; Marinobacteraceae. The record is from RNAcentral.
CUCCCCGCUGACGAGCGGCGGACGGGUGAGUAAUGCAUAGGAAACUGCCCAGUAGUGGGGGAUAGCCCGGGGAAACCCGGAUUAAUACCGCAUACGCCCUUUGGGGGAAAGCAGGGGAUCUUCGGACCUUGCGCUAUUGGAUGUGCCUAUGUCGGAUUAGCUAGUUGGUGGGGUAAGAGCCUACCAAGGCGACGAUCCGUAGCUGGUCUGAGAGGAUGAUCAGCCACAUCGGGACUGAGACACGGCCCGAACUCCUACGGGAGGCAGCAGUGGGGAAUAUUGGACAAUGGGGGCAACCCUGAUCCAGCCAUGCCGCGUGUGUGAAGAAGGCUUUCGGGUUGUAAAGCACUUUCAGUGAGGAGGAAAACCUUACGACUAAUACUCGUGAGGCUUGACGUUACUCACAGAAGAAGCACCGGCUAACUCCGUGCCAGCAGCCGCGGUAAUACGGAGGGUGCAAGCGUUAAUCGGAAUUACUGGGCGUAAAGCGCGCGUAGGUGGUUUGAUAAGCGAGAUGUGAAAGCCCCGGGCUCAACCUGGGAACGGCAU